AAGUCGUAACAAGGUUUCCGUAGGUGAACCUGCGGAAGGAUCAUCAACAAAUCUAAUAAAUGGGGGGAAAAACAACCCCAUUUUAUACCAAUGUGAAUAGAGAGAGUUUUUUUUUUUAAAACUCUCUUGUAUAUUAACUUUUUAAUAAAAUGAGUCUGUUUUUAAAAUAUAAAAAAAAAUUUAUAUAUAACUUUUAACAAUGGAUCUCUUGGCUCUU
Molecule: unclassified non-coding RNA, 217 nt
Filed under: fungal sp.
Lineage: Eukaryota; Fungi
Description: partial internal transcribed spacer region
Rfam family: Eukaryotic small subunit ribosomal RNA (bases 1-46)
Source: RNAcentral